Molecule: ribosomal RNA, 373 nt
Filed under: uncultured bacterium
Lineage: Bacteria
Description: bacterial SSU rRNA
Rfam family: Bacterial small subunit ribosomal RNA
Source: RNAcentral
ACGGAGGAUGCAAGCGUUAUCCGGAAUCAUUGGGCGUAAAGCGUCCGUAGGUGGUUACACAAGUCUAUUGUUAAAGAGUGGGGCUUAACUCCAUCACAGCAGUAGAAACUGUGAGACUAGAGAGUGGUAGGGGCAGAGGGAAUUCCUGGUGUAGCGGUGAAAUGCGUAGAGAUCAGGAAGAACACCAGUGGCGAAAGCGCUCUGCUGGACCGACUCUGACACUGAGGGACGAAAGCUAGGGGAGCGAAAGGGAUUAGAUACCCCUGUAGUCCUAGCCGUAAACGAUGGAUACUAGGUGUUGUCAGCAUCGACCCUGAUAGUGCCGUAGCUAACGCGUUAAGUAUCCCGCCUGGGGAGUACGCACGCAAGUGUG